This is a long non-coding RNA of Capsicum annuum, 4176 nucleotides long. RefSeq lists it as uncharacterized. The transcript has 4 exons. The record is from RefSeq and is a predicted model, not a curated record. NCBI's taxonomy places the organism in Eukaryota, Viridiplantae, Streptophyta, Magnoliopsida, Solanales, Solanaceae.
AGGAUUCCCAUUUUCUCUUUCAUCAAAUAUUCUCUCGGCAAUUUCCAAAUAUUUUCCUCUAUAAGAAUCCUUCAUACAAGAUAAAUCACUGCAUUUUUCUUCAAUUUUAAUAGUGCUAGCAAGAUUUGAAGAUUUUCCUACCAAAAAGAUGGAAGAACUAUGGAUGGCAGCAACAUCAUAUUCCAUGUUAGACACAAUAGCAACUACUCUACGAAAUUUGCUGAUAGUGUCACCUGUUUGGGAUCAACUUGACAAAACCGAGAGUUACUUUAUGAAGGUACAAUGCAUGCAGUGAAGUGUUGGUUAAUGUUCAUCGACGAAAUUGAAGAUUUUUUUUAGUUGACGAAAUUGAAGAAAUUUGAGGUACAACUAAAGAUGUUCUUUACUUUUUUUUUCUAUUUUCCUUACUGUAUAGAUAUUUUACUCCAACAAUUUGUAGUUUUUUCUGAAUUUUCAUUAUUAGGGUUUUUAGGGAUUUCAGUGACAAAGUUUGGAUUUUGUGUGGGUUUUUUUGGGGAUUUGACUAAUUUAUGUAUUAUUCUUCAGAUUUCACUGAAAAAUACAAGGUUAUUUUGGUAAUUUUCUGGUUUAAGGGUAUUUUGGGUAUUUUCUUUUGUUGAGAAUCUUCUGGGGGCUGUUAAGGAAAUAUAAUGGAUAACUAUAUUUUGACCUGUUUUCAUCACGGGGAAAAUAUUAUAGCCGGCCCUAAGCUUAGUUAUAAAGGUGAGGUUGAUGUCUUUGCCGUUGCUAUUGAUAAAGACCACUAUAGUCUUUUUGAGUUUCUUUCCUAUGCCAAAGAUCUUGGGUAUUCAAAUAUUGAGGGGUUUUACCGUCAACAUAUAUAUGGUGAAGAGUUACCUCCAAUUAAUUCUGAUAGGGAGUUAUUAGACUUUGUAAAGGACUUGAAAGAUGGUGAUGAGCUUGAUGUGUUUCUUCUUUAUGACAUUGAUGAAGACAUUAAGGUUGUACAAAGUCUUCUCUUCUUUUAGAAGGGCCACCCAUGUGUAUUGAUGAAGAUGAUAUAGGCAGUGAUGGUAAUGAGGGUAGGGGUCUUGAUAAAGAUCUGAAUGGUAAUGAAUCAGAUGUGCUUAGUACUGAUUCAGAUAUUGAAAUCCCUGAUGAGGAUGGUUCAGACAUUGAUGAAGAGUUGAGAGCCUUUAGGGCUGAAAAUAGAAGCAAAAAAAAUCCAAAAAAAGCAAAAUCUAUAGAAGAAAUACUUGUAGGUGAAGAUGGUAUCGACAAAGGUUUUUAGGACAUUUUUAGAAAAAGAAAGACAGAUAUAUGGGUAGAUUAAGAGUUGAUAAAGAGUUUAUUGAUAGUUCAGACUGUGAUAGUAUUGAUAGCACUGAUUUAGUAGAUGAGGAUGCUGUUGUAGGUGCUGACUUACCAAGGGGAAGAAGAAGUAGUAAAAUCAGAUUUGAUGAUGAUUAUGGUGUUGUUGUUUUUGAACUUGGGAUGAUUUUUAAUGGUCCUAAGGAAUUUAGAAAAGCAUUGGGGAGGUAUGCAGUAGAAAAUAGAGUUUAAAUUGUUUUAAGACCUAGUGAGACUCAUAAAGUAAGGGCUAAGUACAAAUGUAAGCCAAAAUAUAGUUGGUUAUGUUAUGGUGCAAUUGACAAAGAUUCUGGUAAUUUCAUGAUUAAAAACUAUAGUCCAGUGCAUAAGUGUACAACAUCAAACAAGAACAAGAUAUGCACAACUAAAUUUAUUGCUGACAGAUUUAGAGAUGACAUAAUUAAACAACCAUCUUUGAGGAUUUGAAAAAUACAAGAACUGUACAGAGAAAAAUUGGGAUUAUAUGUGGGUAGAGUAAUAUGUUAUAAGGCUAGAUUACAGGUUCUAAGAGAGUCCAUAUGGAACUGGAACUUGGAGUUUGCAAGAUUAUGUGAUAAUGUUGAGAUGAUAAACAAACCAAUCCUGGUAAUUUUAUUUGACUAAGAAUGGAUACAGAAACUGUCCCUGGUAAAAAUUUAUUUGUGUAUUUCUAUGUGUGUCUUGAUGCAUUGAAGAAAGGUUGGAUGGAAGGAUGUAGAAGAAUUAUAGGUUUGAUGGAUAUUUCUUAAAAUGUGCUUGUAAGAGUGAACUUCUAGUAGCAGUUGGGAAGAAUGGUAACAAUCAGAUAUUUCCUAUAGCCUGGGCUAUUGUGGAGAAGGAAACUAAGCAGAGUUGGAGUUUUUUUAUCAAGUAUUUGAAAGAGGAUCUGCAGUUGGGUGCUAGAGCAGGUCUUACUGUGAUGGCUGAUACACAAAAGGGCUUUCUUGCUACUAUUUUUGUCUUGCUACCAAAUGUUGAAGUAAGAAGAUGGACUAGACAUAUUUGGUCCAAUUAGAGUGAACAGUGGAAGGGAGAAAAAAGGAGAAAGUAGUUCUAGAAAUGCUCAAAGGCAAGCUUUGAAGUGAAGUUCAAAGAAGAACUUGAUUACAUCAGCCAACUUGGUAUGGAAGGUAAGGAUAUUAUUGGUGAUUUAUUGCAUUAUCCUAGGCAGUCAUGAGUUAGGGUAUUCUUUAAAGAAGAUUGUAAGUAUGAUGCUGUUGAAAAUGACACGUGUGAAACCUUUAACUCAUGGAUCUUAAUUCCUAGACACAAAUCUAUCAUUACUAUGUUGGAGGAUAUUAGGAGAAAAAUCAUGACUAGAACUGUGGAUAUUAUUAAGUUUGCCAAUACUUGGAUAUGUAAUAUUGCACCUAUGGCUAGACUUAUAUUGGAGGAGAAUAAGGAAAGGGCUAAGGCUUGCAAGGUUCUUUGGAAUGAUGAUGUUGGAUUUGAAAUUAGAGAAGGGGAGUUUAGGCAUACAGUGGACUUGAGUAGUAGGAUUUGUAGUUGUAGAACUUGGCAGUUAAGAGACAUUCCCUGCCAACAUGCUAUUUCUACUUUGUAUCAUGUUGAACAAGAGCCUGAACCUUAUGUGGAGUAUUGGUAUAAAAAUAAAACCUUCAUGAAGGCUUACAUUCACUUUAUACAACCAAUAUCCACUAUGAAGAUGUGGCCUGAGAUAAACAAUCCAAAGAUUGAGCCUCCUGAACCUAAGAAAAUGCCUGGUAGACCUACAAAAAAUAGAAGACGAGGUAAAGGUGAACCAAAGGAAAAUAUGGAAAGCUGUCAAAACAAGGGUUGAAAAUAACAUGUUCCAAGUGUCAUCAACAAGGCCAUAAUAGAAGAUACUGUAAGGUAAAACAAUGACUUUUAAUUUAAGUUUAGAAUUUGAAUUCAUAUUGAUUUAACUGUUGUGUAUGUGUUUAUAGAUUCCUGAUCCAAAUGAACAAGUUCCUAGCCAAGGGUUCCAGCCUAGUGGUCAUAGUUCACAAGUAAGUUACCAGCCUAAAAGCUCAAGCCAACCUGCACCUUCAACCUAAAAAAAAUCAGCAAAAUGUAGCUCAAGCAAGUCUGCACCAAUAAGCUCAACUCAAGCUGCAACUUUAACAACAGUUUGUGCUGAUACAAGCAGAGUUAGGAGCUUGAAGGUAGCUGCAACAUCUACCUCUUGUGGUGAUACUAGGAUCCCUGUUACAGAAGGAAUAAAAAGCCAACUACCUCCUAGAAAUAAAAAAAUUGUUGGGGACAAGAGAGGUAGAGUUGAAACAACAAUAGAUGCUGAUUGUGGUGGAUCUAAAAGGUUAAAGAAUGCUGGAUUUAAAAUCUACAAUAUUCAAAAGGAAACCCAAAUAUUGAAUGUAAUUUGAAUCAAGCAUUGGUUUUUUAACAAAAAAAUACAUAUAUUAAUUAUUGUUCCUUCUUUUUAAAGAAAAAAACGGUCGGGGACAUCAAGCCAAAGGAUCCUACAAAGUGGUACAACUUACAAGGAUGCAAGUUCUAAAGGUGUUGAUCUUGGUUAUAAGACAAUAGGAUUGAAAUGAAAAAGUAAAGAUGCUGUCACGACCAAUCAAUUGCAGCAAAUGGCAAAUAAAAAGAAAAAGAAGUAGUCAAGAAGAAGUAGUAUAUUUUGAUGGUGUUUUGCGUUUUUGUUGUGUAACAUAUUGUACCAAACAAUUUGGUAGUUUAAAUCUGGUAGUGUAUAGCAGUAAACAAGGCCUUUACUUCUUUAUUUUAAAUCUGGCCUUAAAUAUGCUAGGGUAUGCAGUAAACAAUUGGGUUGUUUGAAGCAUGUUUUGUACGUACAUUACUAUGACUUUGAGCUCAAAAUGGAGCACAUUUAUGAAGUUAUUGUUGGUGUUUCUUUGU